This 253-nucleotide ribosomal RNA is filed under the name uncultured bacterium. RNAcentral describes it as "partial 16S ribosomal RNA". It matches the Rfam family "Bacterial small subunit ribosomal RNA", at positions 524 to 776 of the family's 1533-position model. The record is from RNAcentral.
UACGUAGGGUGCAAGCGUUGUCCGGAAUUAUUGGGCGUAAAGGGUGCGUAGGUGGCGCCGUAAGUCGGGUGUGAAAUUUCGGAGCUUAACUCCGAAACUGCAUUCGAUACUGCGGUGCUUGAGGACUGGAGAGGAGACUGGAAUUCAUGGUGUAGCAGUGAAAUGCGUAGAGAUCGUGAGGAAGACCAGUGGCGAAGGCGGGUCUCUGGACAGUUCCUGACACUGAGGCACGAAGGCCAGGGGAGCAAACGGG